RNAcentral lists this ribosomal RNA (842 nucleotides) under uncultured prokaryote. Its description in RNAcentral is "bacterial SSU rRNA". It matches the Rfam family "Bacterial small subunit ribosomal RNA", at positions 8 to 817 of the family's 1533-position model. The record is from RNAcentral.
AGAGUUUGAUCCUGGCUCAGGACGAACGCUGGCGGCGUGCCUAAUACAUGCAAGUCGAGCGAGCAAUUUUGACGGAAUACUUCGGUAGGAAGUCAGAAGCGCGAGCGGCGGAUGGGUGAGUAACACGUGGGCAACCUGCCCUUUAGCUUGGGAUACCACUUGGAAACAGGUGCUAAUACCAAAUAAGCAGCAAGAGCGCAUGCUCAAGCUGAGAAAGGCGGCUUUCGAGCUGUCACUAAAGGAUGGGCCCGCGGUGCAUUAGCUAGUUGGUAAGGUAACGGCCUACCAAGGCGAUGAUGCAUAGCCGAGUUGAGAGACUGACCGGCCACAUUGGGACUGAGACACGGCCCAAACUCCUACGGGAGGCAGCAGUAGGGAAUCUUCCACAAUGGACGCAAGUCUGAUGGAGCAACGCCGCGUGAGUGAAGAAGGUUUUCGGAUCGUAAAGCUCUGUUGUUGGUGAAGAAGGACAAGGGUAGUAACUGAUCUUUGUUUGACGGUAAUCAACCAGAAAGUCACGGCUAACUACGUGCCAGCAGCCGCGGUAAUACGUAGGUGGCAAGCGUUGUCCGGAUUUAUUGGGCGUAAAGCGAACGCAGGCGGGAAGAUAAGUCAGCUGUGAAAGCCCCCAGCUUAACUGGGGAACUGCAGCUGAGACUAUGUUUCUUGAGUGCAGAAGAGGAGAGUGGAACUCCAUGUGUAGCGGUGGAAUGCGUAGAUAUAUGGAAGAACACCAGUGGCGAAGGCGGCUCUCUGGUCUGUAACUGACGCUGAGGUUCGAAAGCAUGGGUAGCGAACAGGAUUAGAUACCCUGGUAGUCCAUGACGUAUACGAUGAGUGCU